AUAUGCAUGAGGUUCAUUUGAGCCUAAAUAUAAAGCUUCACCAGGGUUGAGUUUCACAUAAUUUAACAAGUAUGCAGCUAAGACACCAACAUCAGCUGGAUACUGCUUCUCGAGUCUUAAAAUCAGUUGUUCUUUGUCCGUUAGGUGCCUCACCUACAACACCGAAGAUAAAUGCAAAUCUAUAUAAAUAAGAAUAAUUGGCAAGAUGAACUUAAGCAGCAAGGGUUACAGCUAAUAUACUUGACAAGACCAUAAGCAGUGCGGUUUCACCACAUAAUUUACAUAAGAAUAACUUAUACAACAACAUAAGUACUAGAAACUCAAAUCCAAAAUGUAUCCCGUAGUUUCCAGAUGACAGAAUUUGAUGCAGAUAAAGUCAAGUGUCACUUUUGUGGCUGUGAAAAAGGUUCGACACAUCCAAGGCGCAACAAUAAUAGGAGAUAAAGGAAAACUAAAUAAUGACAUUUGCAGUGAUACACAGAACGAAAAUCAAAUCCAAACAGAUUAUCUCCUUGGUAGGAAUUGCACAACAAAUGCAACUUGAUUGAGGUUAUCACAGGUGCGUUUCAGCUGAUCCAUCCACAGUUAAUGUGGAAGAGAACGAGUCCCUUUUUUCUUAUUUCUUUUUUAAUCUGAGAAUGAACGAAGAUAAGACAGAUCAGCUGGAGCUAUAAAAUACAGAAAUCCCAUAUUCAAAUCAAUAAAACAUUGUGAUACUCUCAGCAGUCGCAUUUUCACAAAUCGGCCUUACAUUUUCUGCCAGUGCAAGUCACCACCAUAUAAGAGCAACACAUGUCAGUUAGUAGAGGCCCCGCAAGUAUGCUUUUGUGCUAGGAGAUAGGACUGGAACAAAGGCACAUAAACUGGCGACAACGAUCAAACCUUCCCAAAAACUCAGAGAAGUACUAUCCACAUGAACGAGUUUACUACCAUGCAGAAGCACAAAAAGGAGACCUCCAAUUACUGCCCAAGUAAACCAAACAACUUAUAGUUUCACUUGAUUGUGGAUCAAUUUGGACUACCUGAUCGUCAAUGUUUAGGCGACUAAUCAGCUUGGCUAACACUUCAACAAUCACAUCCUUGCGAACUGACAUUAUGUCAGUAAAUGCCGAUUGUAGCAUUAAUCUAACUUCCUCCUCCCCAUCAUCUUCAUUCAAGUUUAAAAUUUGCUCCGCUUUUGCAUUACCAAUCACUUCGACAACCUCGGGCGUAGUUUUAACAGUCAACUUGAGCUCCUGGAAAAAAAUUCAAUAUACUUAUCAUCACAAUCAAUUACUUUUCUGGAAAAUAGCCAUGCAAGUUAAACCCAUUCCAUCAACUCAAGUCAAGGAGCACAAUAACUUUGCUUCUCAAGCACAUCAACAACAUGAAUAAGGUAUACAACUACCUUUCCUGCUAGUGGCGGAUCUACAGUUUUAGCAGCAGGUGCGCAUCAGCACUUCCUACGUAUGAUUUGAAGUAUAAAUACAUAUAAUUGAAAUUUUUUAUAAGAAAUAUAUUCACACUAGAUUCAUACUCACUGUAACAGAUAAGUCGUGGCUACGGUGUAGCUCCACCCACUGACUUAAAAUCUUGGAUCCAGAUCUCUCAAAAUAAGAAGCUUGUCAACCAGAAUAAAUUUCUGUCUUCUACUUACCUGUUUAUAUCUGCAGUCUUAACAUAUACUG
This 1667-nucleotide long non-coding RNA is filed under the name Nicotiana benthamiana. Its description in RNAcentral is "long non-coding RNA (NBEN_LNC018025)". Lineage: Eukaryota; Viridiplantae; Streptophyta; Magnoliopsida; Solanales; Solanaceae. The record is from RNAcentral.